Molecule: long non-coding RNA, 1552 nt
Organism: Pseudonaja textilis
Lineage: Eukaryota; Metazoa; Chordata; Lepidosauria; Squamata; Elapidae
Source: Ensembl
AAAUGUUUUCUCUUGGCUUUUCUUCCUUUACUUUUCAGAGCCAUCUUUCUAAUUUGAUUUUUUUCCACUCCAUUCUUCAGAUUCCUGGGAUUGUACCCUCAUGGGAGCAGCUUUCUGUGACAUUCGCAAUGAAAAUGAAGAUGAAUACAGUGAGCUGGAAGAAGCCAACGGUGUCUGGAAUAAAGUUUUCACCUUCAUUAUUCUCUUUAUUGUGGCCAUAUUUUAUGGCGGCCUUGUCACUUUCAUCAAGGUGAAAUAACCAUCAUCCCUUUCCUAUCAAUGAAGCACACAGUCAAAUGAGACCCCAUCUUUUCCCCUUCAUCAUCCAUUUCUCUCGCCCAUCCUUCAUGACAACUGUUUUAAGCUACACUGUUUUAAAUGUCACAAAAAAAACCUAUCUACUUUCACCUGACCCUGUCUCUACUUCUGCAGCCUUAACAAUAACAGGAAGAAACCAGUUGGUUUUCUACAUGGAAGAAAAAAGGCUCUAGGAAAGGAAAGAAAUUUAAUAUCUUUAUCCAAACCUUCACAAAUUCUAAGGAACUCAUUAAGGGUACACAAACACCAAAUUGUUAUCCUGUCCCCUUACAUCUCAAAGGGAAAAUGUUAAAAGAGCAAAGAGAAAUAUUGUGCACUUUUCAAGCCAAACCACCUGUGGAUCAUGAUUAAUUUACUGGCAUGGCACAUUGCAAGACGUGAUGGAUCCCCUGGCAUGCUAAAAUCCCUUUUCAAGAAUGACCCUGUUUUUAUUUUUCAAGAAAAGAGGGCAAAGGAAAACCCUUUCCCCCACUUCCAAUACUUAACUUACCAACUUAUUUUUCAGUAUCAGUUUUGUUCUCUUUUUUGUGUGUGUAGCCAGAGGUGGUAUUCAACCAGUUCGGACCAGUUUUGAAAUACCAGUCAUGGAGAUUUUGAGCAGUUCAGAGAACUGGCAAAUGCAACCUCUGGGCGGCCCUGCCCUCCUGCCUCCCCCGUUCCCUGGUCUAUAUUCCCUUGUUUUUUUAGCUCAGCCGAUUAACAUGGCAGAGCAGAUUGCUGCGCCUCAGCUGAGCUAAAAAACAGCUCAGCUCACCAGCUGAGUCUUUAAGUGGUCUUUGAGGUGGUGUUUGAGUGCUGCACAUGCGCUCAAAGUGCGUUCUCAUAGAACCGAUAGGAAAAGAUUUGGAAUCCCACCACUGUGUUUAGUCCUCUAGUGCUAAACAGCUGGUCACCUUUUUCUUUAAAGUCAAUUUAAUUAACUACUUCAUUUACUUCAAAUUGGGGCCAGAAAGUUUCUUAGUCCAAUGUAAAAAAUAGCAAACUGCUUCUAUAGCAGGGGUUCCCAACCUUUUCUAUAUCCCUCAUCCCUAGAACGCUUCUGAUAUAUUCUCACACCCCUUACAAAAGAAAAUAAUUAUAUGCAUAUAAUUAUUCAUAUACACUAUAAUUUUGAAAAUUCUCAACCCAAGCUUCUGUACCCGCUGGAAUAUUAUCUUGCAACCCCGGUUGGGAACCCCGUUCUAGAGUCCAAAAUCAACGGUUGUUUUGUUUGAAAGUAGAGGUAUCCAGAAAC